RNAcentral lists this ribosomal RNA (492 nucleotides) under uncultured bacterium. RNAcentral describes it as "partial 16S ribosomal RNA". It matches the Rfam family "Bacterial small subunit ribosomal RNA", at positions 29 to 507 of the family's 1533-position model. The record is from RNAcentral.
AGUGAACACUGGCGGUAGGCCUAACACAUGCAAGUCGAACGGCAGCACAGUAAGAGCUUGCUCUUACGGGUGGCGAGUGGCGGACGGGUGAGGAAUACAUCGGAAUCUACUUUUUCGUGGGGGAUAACGUAGGGAAACUUACGCUAAUACCGCAUACGACCUACGGGUGAAAGCAGGGGAUCUUCGGACCUUGCGCGAUUGAAUGAGCCGAUGUCGGAUUAGCUAGUUGGCGGGGUAAAGGCCCACCAGGGCGACGAUCCGUAGCUGGUCUGAGAGGAUGAUCAGCCACACUGGAACUGAGACACGGCCCAGACUCCUACGGGAGGCAGCAGUGGGGAAUAUUGGACAAUGGGCGCAAGCCUGAUCCAGCCAUACCGCGUGGGUGAAGAAGGCCUUCGGGUUGUAAAGCCCUUUUGUUGGGAAAGAAGAGCAGCAGGUUAAUACCCCGCUGUUCUGACGGUACCCAAAGAAUAAGCACCGGCUAACUUCGUG